RNAcentral lists this ribosomal RNA (253 nucleotides) under uncultured bacterium. RNAcentral describes it as "partial 16S ribosomal RNA". It matches the Rfam family "Bacterial small subunit ribosomal RNA", at positions 524 to 776 of the family's 1533-position model. The record is from RNAcentral.
GACGAACCGUCCAAACGUUGUUCGGAAUCACUGGGCUUAAAGGGCGCGUAGGCGGACUGCCAAGUCCGGGGUGAAAUCUUUCGGCUUAACCGGAAAAGGGCCUUGGAAACUGGCGGUCUCGAGGGAGGUAGGGGCCUGUGGAACUUCGGGUGGAGCGGUGAAAUGCGCAGAUAUCAGGAAGAACACCCGUGGCGAAGGCGGCUCUCUGGGACGGUACUGACGCUGAGACGCGAAAGCGUGGGGAGCGAACAGG